AUUGAACGCUGGCGGCAUGCCUUACACAUGCAAGUCGAACGGCAGCACGGGAGCAAUCCUGGUGGCGAGUGGCGAACGGGUGAGUAAUAUAUCGGAACGUGCCCAGUCGUGGGGAUAACGUAGCGAAAGCUACGCUAAUACCGCAUACGAUCUAUGGAUGAAAGCGGGGGAUCGCAAGACCUCGCGCGAUUGGAGCGGCCGAUAUCAGAUUAGGUAGUUGGUGAGGUAAAGGCUCACCAAGCCGACGAUCUGUAGCUGGUCUGAGAGGACGACCA
RNAcentral lists this ribosomal RNA (275 nucleotides) under uncultured bacterium. RNAcentral describes it as "partial 16S ribosomal RNA". It matches the Rfam family "Bacterial small subunit ribosomal RNA", at positions 30 to 306 of the family's 1533-position model. The record is from RNAcentral.